CUAACAUGCAGUGUCAGUACUAACAUGCAGUGUCAGUAGUAACAUGCAGUGUCAGUACUAACAUGCAGUGUCAGUAGUAACAUGCAGUAUCAGUACUAACAUGCAGUGUCAGUACUAACAUCCAGUGUCAGUACUAACAUGCAGUGUCAGUAGUAACAUGCAGUGUCAGUACUAACAUGCAGUGUCAGUAGUAACAUGCAGUGUCAGUACUAACGUGCAGUGUCAGUAGUAACAUGCAGUGUCAGUAGUAACGUGCAGUGUCAGUAGUAACAUGCAGUGUCAGUAGUAACAUGCAGUGUCAGUACUAACAUGCAGUGUCAGUAGUAACAUGCAGUGUCAGUAGUAACAUGCAGUGUCAGUACUAACAUGCAGUGUCAGUAGUAACAUGCAGUGUCAGUAGUAACAUGCAGUGUCAGUACUAACAUGCAGUGUCAGUACUAACAUGCAGUGUCAGUACUAACGUGCAGUGUCAGUAGUAACAGCCAGUAUCAGUAGUUCUUCCUGAUAUCAAUAAUUCAUCGCUUUGUGCUCUGGAGCAUGGAGCAUCAGUUCAGCAGCUCAUAUUAAAACACACACACAGACACACACGCACGCACACACACACACACACUCCCUACUGUGGUGUAGACGCAGGGUUAUAAUGUGUGUAUCAGUGGGGUUUAUCGGAUGUUCUGGAUGCAGCGACGCACUAAACUAAACCACAGGCACCUAUUACAUUUAUUAGUAAAUGAUUAGUAAAUCAAGCUCAUUCUGUUCCCUCUGUUUCAGCAUGGAGGAGGCGUGUCACUCGCUUCAUUUACAUCCUAAUUCAUUCCAUUUACG
Ictalurus punctatus (channel catfish) is the source of this 822-nucleotide long non-coding RNA. NCBI's taxonomy places the organism in Eukaryota, Metazoa, Chordata, Actinopteri, Siluriformes, Ictaluridae. The record is from Ensembl.